CCUACGAGUGGCAGCAGUGAGGAAUAUUGGUCAAUGGACGAGAGUCUGAACCAGCCAAGUAGCGUGAAGGAUGACUGCCCUAUGGGUUGUAAACUUCUUUUAUAUGGGAAUAAAGUGCAGUAUGUAUACUGCUUUGCCUGUACCUUAUGAAUAAGGAUCGGCUAACUCCGUGCCAGCAGCCGCGGUAAUACGGAGGAUGCGAGCGUUAUCCGGAUUUAUUUGGUUUAAAGGGUUCGCAGGCGGAAGAUCAAGUCAGCGGUAACAUUGAGAGGCUCAACCUCUUCGAGCCGUUGAAACUGGUUUUCUUGAGUGAGCGAGAAGUAUGCGGAAUGCGUGGUGUAGCGGUGAAAUGCAUAGAUAUCACGCAGAACUCCGAUUGCGAAGGCAGCAUACCGGCGCUCAACUGACGCUCAUUCACGAAAGUGUGGGUAUCGAACAGGAUUAGAUACCCCAGUAGUC
RNAcentral lists this ribosomal RNA (459 nucleotides) under uncultured bacterium. RNAcentral's name for it is "partial 16S ribosomal RNA". It matches the Rfam family "Bacterial small subunit ribosomal RNA", at positions 338 to 795 of the family's 1533-position model. The record is from RNAcentral.